Non-coding RNA from Triticum aestivum (bread wheat), 115 nucleotides. NCBI's taxonomy places the organism in Eukaryota, Viridiplantae, Streptophyta, Magnoliopsida, Poales, Poaceae. The record is from Rfam.
AAUGUACUCCCUCCGUUCCAAAUAACUCGUCGCCAAAAUGCAUGUAUCUAGAACUAAAAUACAUCUAGAUACAUCCAUACCUGCGACCAGUAAUUCGGAACGGAGGGAGUAGGUA